UUCGAAAAAAAUUUCGUAAGU
Molecule: non-coding RNA, 21 nt
Filed under: Caenorhabditis elegans
Lineage: Eukaryota; Metazoa; Nematoda; Chromadorea; Rhabditida; Rhabditidae
Source: RNAcentral